UAGCUCAGUAGGUAGAGUGCUUGCCUUGCAUGCACAAGGCCCUGGGUUCAAUCCCCAG
Molecule: transfer RNA, 58 nt
Filed under: Marmota marmota marmota (Alpine marmot)
Lineage: Eukaryota; Metazoa; Chordata; Mammalia; Rodentia; Sciuridae
Also listed under: 2 other names
Rfam family: tRNA
About the family: Transfer RNA (tRNA) molecules are approximately 80 nucleotides in length. Their secondary structure includes four short double-helical elements and three loops (D, anti-codon, and T loops).
Source: Rfam by way of RNAcentral